GCAGACACAUUCCAGCCAAUCAGCAGCAGACCCUCCUUCCCAGACCCUGCCACCUCCUGGACAGCUCACUAAGAAUGCAGCUUCAAAAUGGAUGCUGUCCAGGAGUUGGGAGGGUCUGGGAGGGAGGGUUUGCUGCUGAUUGGCUGGAAUGUGUCUG
Molecule: microRNA precursor, 157 nt
Filed under: Pelobates cultripes (western spadefoot toad)
Lineage: Eukaryota; Metazoa; Chordata; Amphibia; Anura; Pelobatidae
Source: RNAcentral